This 474-nucleotide ribosomal RNA is filed under the name Neogonodactylus oerstedii. RNAcentral's name for it is "partial 16S ribosomal RNA". It matches the Rfam family "Bacterial large subunit ribosomal RNA", at positions 1849 to 2566 of the family's 2925-position model. The record is from RNAcentral. Lineage: Eukaryota; Metazoa; Arthropoda; Malacostraca; Stomatopoda; Gonodactylidae.
AUAGUCUGGCCUGCCCACUGAUAAUUUUAAUUGAAGGGCCGCGGUAUUCUGACCGUGCGAAGGUAGCAUAAUAAUUAGUCUCCUAAUUAGAGGCUUGUAUGAAUGGUCGGACAAGAUAGGAACUGUCUCAAUAUAAAAAAUAAAAUUUAAUAUUUAAGUAAAAAAGCUUAAAUAAUUUAGAGGGACGAUAAGACCCUAUAAAGCUUUAUGGUAAUAUUUUUGUAUAUAAAAUAUUUCAUGUAACUUAUUAAAAAAUAAACACCAUUUUACUGGGGCGGUAAAAGUAUAUUUUUGAUUAACUGCUUUUGUUGUUGAAAACAGUUGUAGCUGAAUAAUAAAUUGAUCCAUUAUUAAUGAUCACAAGUACAAGUUACUUUAGGGAUAACAGCGUAAUUUUUCUUGAGAGUCCUUAUCGAAAGAAAAGUUUGCGACCUCGAUGUUGAAUUAAGGAAGCCUUAAGGUGCAGCAGUUUUA